RNAcentral lists this transfer RNA (107 nucleotides) under Moesziomyces antarcticus. RNAcentral describes it as "Pseudozyma antarctica tRNA". It matches the Rfam family "tRNA". From Rfam's summary of the family: Transfer RNA (tRNA) molecules are approximately 80 nucleotides in length. Their secondary structure includes four short double-helical elements and three loops (D, anti-codon, and T loops). The record is from Rfam by way of RNAcentral. Lineage: Eukaryota; Fungi; Basidiomycota; Ustilaginomycetes; Ustilaginales; Ustilaginaceae.
GCGUCCGUAGUGUAGUGGUUAUCACGUCUCUUUCCCAUUGAACCAAGGCUCCAAUAGUCUACUCAGGCGAGAAGAGGAGGGCACGGGUUCGAACCCCGUCGGUCGCA